UACGGGGGGAGCAAGCGUUGUUCGGAUUUACUGGGCGUAAAGGGCGCGUAGGCGGCCAGCACAAGUCAGUUGUGAAAUCUCCGAGCUUAACUCGGAAAGGUCAACUGAUACUGUGCGGCUAGAGUGCGGAAGGGGCAACUGGAAUUCUUGGUGUAGCGGUGAAAUGCGUAGAGAUCGUAAGGAAGACCAGUGGCGAAGGCGGGUCUCUGGACAGUUCCUGACACUGAGGCACGAAGGCCAGGGGAGCAAACGGG
This 254-nucleotide ribosomal RNA is filed under the name uncultured bacterium. Its description in RNAcentral is "partial 16S ribosomal RNA". It matches the Rfam family "Bacterial small subunit ribosomal RNA", at positions 524 to 776 of the family's 1533-position model. The record is from RNAcentral.